Molecule: long non-coding RNA, 301 nt
Organism: Polypterus senegalus (gray bichir)
Lineage: Eukaryota; Metazoa; Chordata; Cladistia; Polypteriformes; Polypteridae
Exons: 3
Source: RefSeq, a predicted model, not a curated record
UACAAAAGGAGACUCCUGGCAAUGUCAACCAGUAGAUUUUGUUCAUGCAGUUAAACAACUCAAGUGUGGCUUAGCACAUUCUGCACUAGUUGCAUCUCUGCUGUAUGUGGUGUAUCGCUGGAUGAAGGCCAUCACAGAUUACAGAGAUUAACCACCCCUGUAUUUUACUGGGAUUUGUUGAAGCAAAUUUGCUAGGAUAGUGAGAGGUUUUUUGGUACAGAAUACUGAAAUAUCUGGAGCAUGUCCAUGACCACUAUAAUGUAAGGUGAACAGGGAGGAAGAAGAAAUUAUAAAAAGCCAA